Long non-coding RNA from Symsagittifera roscoffensis, 2018 nucleotides. RefSeq lists it as uncharacterized. The transcript is spliced from 2 exons. The record is from RefSeq and is a predicted model, not a curated record. Lineage: Eukaryota; Metazoa; Xenacoelomorpha; Acoela; Convolutidae.
GGAGGGGCGGGUGGGGGCAAUGCGUCUUCAUUGCCACCCCUGUUCGAGUUCUCAAAUGAGGAGCUGCGCAACCUUCCCGCAAGUGUAGACCUGAGCAAGCUAACAAUCAACUCGCAAGGACCUAACCAGACAGCAUCAGCUGCCAAUAACUCACAGACCGACGCUUAGUGAGCGAAGAGGAGCGCUCACAGGUUUAAUUGCUGGUCGAGCUGACUUCGAACAACUGCUAUCUUGAUUGAGACUGGAAAUAUACUCCGAUAUUGUGUCACUAGUUAGAAUACGAGGUGCAAUUUAUUCUGCCACCUUACCUGCAAAGAACUUCACUUUUCGUUCUCGAGUCUCGAUUGACUUCUCAAAUGAAGUCCCCACCCAAACACCAUGUCUCUAAAUUGUCACGAGAAUCUCCAACCCAAUUUGUAUAUACUUCCUCGCACUAAUCCGAAAGACCUUUUGGGUCUGAAUAUCCCAAAUUACGAAUCGAAAACAACCUCUGCACUCCGCCAAAUCUGAGAGAAACAAAAGGACAGAAAGAGCUUUCAUAUCUGCAAUUCAAAAAUGAAACUGCUCUGCUCAGUUUUAGAGUCUUCUGUCAGGUUUUGUUCCUGAUGUUUUUGGUAUCUGAAAACUACUUUGAUAAACUUAUUUUUGUUUGUGAAUUGCUCUUUUUCUGGCCAUCAUGAUUUGAUGCAAUUUUUUGGUGUUAGAAUCACAGAAACAAUGACGGCAUUGAAAUGAUGUUUCGUCAAUAGAGAAGUGCCCUACACGUAGAACUUUCUUAUCACUCACCGCGCGUAAUGUUUACUCAAUUUUUUUGAUUCAAAAUCACACACUACGUCUAUAAAUCGAAUUAACUAUUUUCAAAUUGCACGUUAUAUUGUUACUAUCAGAGUUAGAGAAGAACUUAAAUUGGGUUUGAAUUUAUUACAUGCCUUUGUUUUAUCUUAGAUACUUGGAUAGACGCACGUAUUCUGAAACAAAAAAGAGCAACUGGUAGCAUACAUAAUGGGUUUUAGAGACCUCUCGUUCCCUCCGCGCUGCCCCAAUAUCUAAUUUUUUGCUCGUUUUGUGAAAUGAUUCAAAGCAAAAUGUAAGCAAAUCAAGUUAAGCAGUCGUUCGAAGAUUGAUAGACAAAUAAACACAUUUAGUUUCGAAGAAUGAAAGGUUUUUGAGGUAUUUUGAUUUCGACUAUAAAAGAGAAACUUAAUGAACUACAUAGUCGGCUAAAAGAAUGGGACCAAGUGAACUAUCUCCUCCCGUAAUCAAGAGAUCGUUCACUGGUUAAAAAUAAUACUUCUCAGCCAAUCAUAUUUGAGUAUAGUACAUGCAUGCCUUACUGCUUGAUUUUGUCUUCUAAUUUUAGGGGGGAGAUUGUUCACUCGGUCUAUUUAGGGGGAGAUUGCUCACUUGGUCUAUUUAGGGGGAGAUUGUUCACAUGGUCUAUUUAGGUGGAGAUUGUUCACAUAGGCCACAGAAUGAUAUGGCGUUUUUCUACCCAAGUAUCGAAUGAAAAGUUAUUUGAAUAAUCUAUCUGUUGCAGACGGUCAGUACAUUGCAGUGUUCGAGCUUUUUCUAAUUGUAAAUAGGGCCUCAAACUCAUUGUCCAACUGCUAUUUUUGAUGUCUUUUUACUGCUCAUUUGGUAUCAGUUCAGGCUUAAAACUUAGCCUUCUCGAGAUGCUUGCCAGUUUGUAAGCUAUUAAGUCUUAAAAAUCAAUUGAAGUCAGACUUUUUAUAUGACCGUUGCCUGAUAAACAUAUAUUUUCAAAAAAAAAAGAUCAAAAAUAGCAUUUUGUGGAAUUUCAUCAAAAAUAACUCCCUAACUGAUGCUUAAACUGUGUGUUGUAGAUGAAAAUAAUGUAAAGCACUGAUUGUGAUUUGAAUUUCUGCAUUCAACUUAUGCGAACACCCUGACAUGGUAUUAUUAAAUUUAUUAUUAUUUACUGGUAUAAUUAUAAACAUAAGAGCCAUUGUGAGGUAGAUUUUUGUAUUAUUGUAAUUAGAAGUAUUUCAUGUUUUAAA